CAGCCGCCGCGGGAAUACGUAGGUGGCAAGCGUUAUCCGGAAUUAUUGGGCGUAAAGGGCUCGCAGGCGGUUUCUUAAGUCUGAUGUGAAAGCCCCCGGCUCAACCGGGGAGGGUCAUUGGAAACUGGGAAACUUGAGUGCAGAAGAGGAGAGUGGAAUUCCACGUGUAGCGGUGAAAUGCGUAGAGAUGUGGAGGAACACCAGUGGCGAAGGCGACUCUCUGGUCUGUAACUGACGCUGAGGAGCGAAAGCGUGGGGAGCGAACAGGAUUAGAUACCCCAGUAGUCCCUGUCUCUUAUAC
This 301-nucleotide ribosomal RNA is filed under the name uncultured bacterium. Its description in RNAcentral is "partial 16S ribosomal RNA". It matches the Rfam family "Bacterial small subunit ribosomal RNA", at positions 509 to 807 of the family's 1533-position model. The record is from RNAcentral.